RNAcentral lists this long non-coding RNA (456 nucleotides) under Salvia miltiorrhiza (redroot sage). Its description in RNAcentral is "long non-coding RNA (SMIL_LNC002465)". The record is from RNAcentral. Lineage: Eukaryota; Viridiplantae; Streptophyta; Magnoliopsida; Lamiales; Lamiaceae.
GGGAUAGUGAGAUAUGAUAAUAAUUAGUAAAAAUGGGUGAGAAAUACUGGGGAAAACCAAUCUGAAGCUGCAGCAAGCAUAAUUAAUUAGUAGUAUAUUAUUUGGAGCGAUGGGUACGGAACCAUUGAGCAGUAUCCUUUUCAAAUUCCUUCCGAGGUAUGAAGUAAUCUUUUCCGGGAGCUUUCAUCAUCUUCUCGCUACAACUUCCAAAUAGGUAGGAGAUGCCCCACCACGCCACCAACCCUGCCACGGCGGCGACACCAACAGGCGUCGCAGCAAAAUAACUGCCAACGAAGCGGAACGCCACCUCCACCAACUUCUUUACGGCCCACACGAAGGCGGCGGGGAUUCCUUCGGAAAUGAGUACGCUGAUGCCUUCCGUCACCAUCGCCAAAGAUAUAUAAGACCCCAUGCUCAGUCUGUUCAACCAAAUGUUUAGGCUUUUUACUUGUAAAU